This 427-nucleotide ribosomal RNA is filed under the name uncultured bacterium. Its description in RNAcentral is "bacterial SSU rRNA". It matches the Rfam family "Bacterial small subunit ribosomal RNA", at positions 355 to 774 of the family's 1533-position model. The record is from RNAcentral.
UGGGGAAUUUUGGACAAUGGGCGCAAGCCUGAUCCAGCCAUGCCGCGUGCAGGAUGAAGGCCUUCGGGUUGUAAACUGCUUUUGUACGGAACGAAAAGGUGCCUUCUAAUAAAGGGCGCUCAUGACGGUACCGUAAGAAUAAGCACCGGCUAACUACGUGCCAGCAGCCGCGGUAAUACGUAGGGGGCAAGCGUUGUCCGGAUUUACUGGGUGUAAAGGGCGCGCAGGCGGGAUAAAAAGUCAGUGGUGAAAUCCUACAGCUUAACUGUAGAACUGCCUUUGAUACUUUUAUUCUUGAGUUCGGGAGAGAGAGACGGAAUUCCAGGUGUAGUGGUGAAAUACGUAGAUAUCUGGAAGAACACCAGUUGCGAAGGCGGUCUCUUGGUCCGACACUGACGCUGAGGCGCGAAGGCGUGGGGAGCAAACA